Podarcis lilfordi (Lilford's wall lizard) is the source of this 71-nucleotide non-coding RNA. The record is from the annotation of a GenBank genome assembly. Lineage: Eukaryota; Metazoa; Chordata; Lepidosauria; Squamata; Lacertidae.
GGACCAUAGCUCAUUGGCUGAGCAUCUGCCUUCCAUGAAGAAGAUCCAUAGUUCAAUCCUUGGCAACUCCA